AUACGUUCCCCUUAAAUAAGACA
Molecule: non-coding RNA, 23 nt
Filed under: Cricetulus griseus (Chinese hamster)
Lineage: Eukaryota; Metazoa; Chordata; Mammalia; Rodentia; Cricetidae
Source: RNAcentral